This 468-nucleotide ribosomal RNA is filed under the name uncultured bacterium. Its description in RNAcentral is "partial 16S ribosomal RNA". It matches the Rfam family "Bacterial small subunit ribosomal RNA", at positions 28 to 507 of the family's 1533-position model. The record is from RNAcentral.
GACGAACGCUGGCGGCGUGCUUAACACAUGCAAGUCGAACGGAAAGGCCCUGCUUUUGUGGGGUGCUCGAGUGGCGAACGGGUGAGUAACACGUGAGUAACCUGCCCUUGACUUUGGGAUAACUUCAGGAAACUGGGGCUAAUACCGGAUAGGAGCUCCUGAUGCAUGGUGGGGGUUGGAAAGUUACGGCGGUUGGGGAUGGACUCGCGGCUUAUCCGCUUGUUGGUGGGGUAGUGGCUUACCAAGGCUUUGACGGGUAGCCGGCCUGAGAGGGUGACCGGCGACAAUGGGCCUGAGAGACGGCCCAGACGCCUACGGGAGGCAGCGGUGGGGAAUAUUGCACAGUGGGCGGAAGCCUGAUGCAGCAACGCCGCGUGCGGGAUGACGGCUUACGGGUUGUAAACCGCUUUCGCAUGUAACGAAGCGGGAGUGACGGUAAUGGGUAAAGAAGCACCGGCUAACUACGUG